CAUGUACUCCCUCCGUCCGAAAAUACUUGUCAUCAAAAUGGAUAAAAAGGGAUGUAUCUAGAACUAAAAUACAUCUAGAUUCAUCUCCUUUUAUUCAUUUUGAUGACAAGUAUUUCCGGACGGAAGGGGUAUGAA
Molecule: non-coding RNA, 135 nt
Organism: Triticum aestivum (bread wheat)
Lineage: Eukaryota; Viridiplantae; Streptophyta; Magnoliopsida; Poales; Poaceae
Source: Rfam